This 305-nucleotide ribosomal RNA is filed under the name uncultured bacterium. RNAcentral's name for it is "bacterial SSU rRNA". It matches the Rfam family "Bacterial small subunit ribosomal RNA", at positions 335 to 657 of the family's 1533-position model. The record is from RNAcentral.
UUGCCUACGGGGCGCAGCAGUGGGGAAUAUUGCACAAUGGGGGAAACCCUGAUGCAGCGACGCCGCGUGAGUGAUGAAGUAUUUCGGUAUGUAAAGCUCUAUCAGCAGGGAAGAUAAUGACGGUACCUGACUAAGAAGCUCCGGCUAAAUACGUGCCAGCAGCCGCGGUAAUACGUAUGGAGCAAGCGUUAUCCGGAUUUACUGGGUGUAAAGGGAGCGCAGGCGGUGCGGCAAGUCUGAUGUGAAAGCCCGGGGCUCAACCCCGGGACUGCAUUGGAAACUACCGAACUAGAGUGUCGGAGAGG